This 305-nucleotide ribosomal RNA is filed under the name uncultured bacterium. RNAcentral's name for it is "bacterial SSU rRNA". It matches the Rfam family "Bacterial small subunit ribosomal RNA", at positions 338 to 657 of the family's 1533-position model. The record is from RNAcentral.
CCUACGGGGGGCAGCAGUCGGGAAUAUUGCGCAAUGGAGGAAACUCUGACGCAGUGACGCCGCGUGCAGGAAGAAGGUUUUCGGAUUGUAAACUGCUUUAGAUAGGGAAGAAAAAAAUGACAGUACCUAUAGAAUAAGCUCCGGCUAACUACGUGCCAGCAGCCGCGGUAAUACGUAGGGAGCAAGCGUUAUCCGGAUUUAUUGGGUGUAAAGGGUGCGUAGAUGGAUAAACAAGUUGUUUGUGAAAUACCUCGGCUCAACUGAGGAACUGCAAGCAAAACUGUAUAUCUUGAGUACUGGAGGGG